UGGGGAAUAUUGCACAAUGGGGGGAACCCUGAUGCAGCCAUGCCGCGUGAAUGAAGAAGGCCUUCGGGUUGUAAAGUUCUUUCGGUGACGAGGAAGGUUGAUAGGUUAAUAGCCUAUCAAAUUGACGUUAAUCACAGAAGAAGCACCGGCUAACUCCGUGCCAGCAGCCGCGGUAAUACGGGGGGUGCGAGCGUUAAUCGGAAUAACUGGGCGUAAAGGGCACGCAGGCGGUGACUUAAGUGAGAUGUGAAAGCCCCGAGCUUAACUUGGGAAUUGCAUUUCAUACUGGGUCGCUAGAGUACUUUAGGGAGGGGUAGAAUUCCACGUGUAGCGGUGAAAUGCGUAGAGAUGUGGAGGAAUACCGAAGGCGAAGGCAGCCCCUUGGGAAUGUACUGACGCUCAUGUGCGAAAGCGUGGGGAGCAAACAGGAUUAGAUACCCUGGUAGUCCACGCUGUAAACGAUGAGUGCUAAGUGUUGGUCUCAUAAGAGAUCAGUGCUGCAGCUAACGCAUCAAGCACUCCGCCUGGGGAGUACGACCGCAAGGUUG
RNAcentral lists this ribosomal RNA (548 nucleotides) under uncultured bacterium. RNAcentral's name for it is "bacterial SSU rRNA". It matches the Rfam family "Bacterial small subunit ribosomal RNA", at positions 355 to 896 of the family's 1533-position model. The record is from RNAcentral.